CCUACGGGAGGCAGCAGUGGGGAAUAUUGCGCAAUGGGGGAAACCCUGACGCAGCAACGCCGCGUGAGUGAUGAAGGCCUUCGGGUCGUAAAGCUCUGUCAGGUGGAAAGAAGGGUUCGACGCCGAACAGGCGGAGAAUCCGACGGUACCGCCAAAGGAAGCACCGGCUAACUCCGUGCCAGCAGCCGCGGUAAUACGGAGGGUGCAAGCGUUGUUCGGAAUCAUUGGGCGUAAAGCGCGUGUAGGCGGCCCGCGAAGUCGGAGGUAAAAUCCCUUAGCUCAACUAAGGAAGGCCAUUCGAUACUGGCGGGCUUAAGUACGGGAGAGGAGAGUGAAAUUCCCAGUGUAGAGGUAAAAUUCGUAGAGAUCGGGAGGAACACCGGUGGCGAAGGCGGCUUCCUGGACCGAUACUGACGCUGAGGCGCGAAAGCGUGGGGAGCAAACCGGAUUAGAUACCCGGGUAGU
RNAcentral lists this ribosomal RNA (465 nucleotides) under uncultured delta proteobacterium. Its description in RNAcentral is "partial 16S ribosomal RNA". It matches the Rfam family "Bacterial small subunit ribosomal RNA", at positions 338 to 794 of the family's 1533-position model. Lineage: Bacteria; Deltaproteobacteria. The record is from RNAcentral.